This is a long non-coding RNA of Aegilops tauschii subsp. strangulata, 1619 nucleotides long. RefSeq lists it as uncharacterized. Lineage: Eukaryota; Viridiplantae; Streptophyta; Magnoliopsida; Poales; Poaceae. The record is from RefSeq and is a predicted model, not a curated record.
AAGCUUCCGUCCCUUUUUUUUUGGUUUUUCAUGGUUUUGUCUCUUUUAUUUUUAUUUCCUUUUUUUACUUUUCCUUUUUUUAUUUUUAAAUUGUGUGAACUUUUUGAAUUCAAAAUCUUUUGUAAACUAGUGAACUUUUAAAAAACCUGUGAACUUUUAAAAAACCCGUGAACCUUUUUUUCAAAACCGCUGAACUUUUUUUCAAGUUCAUGAACUAUUGUCCGAAUCUGUGAACUUUUUCUGAACACAUGAACAUUUCCAAAUCCACAUACAUUUCUAAAUUUCUGAACAUUUCUCAAAAUGAGUGAUUUCAAAAAAUUCGAUGAUCUUUUUCCAAAUUUGUGUUUAUUUUUUCAAAAUCAAUGAUUUUUUUCAAAGUCAUGAACUUUCAAAAAGGCACGUUGGGAUGACCCACACGAGCGUGCGCGUGCAUGCUGCUUUCGCUAGGCGGUUCACGAGCGCUGAGGAGGAGCUCUCUUUCCUUUGGCGGCUCUGUCGCCACUCCGUUGCGUCGGCCACUCUCACCGGAAGUGCCCCCUCCUCCUCCCUUACCCGCGACGCAUCCUCGCUUCCACGCCCAUUCUAAUUUCUAUUUCACGCGAGCGGCGCCGUCCAUCCCUCCGAUGCAGUGCCGGCCUUUCGUGCCCAGCGCCUGCCGCUGGGGCAGCAGCGCGCUCUGGUCGUUCGGCGGAAUGCCGACCCGGGUGCCGGUUCGUAAACCGUUACGGUGGCCAUCGAGAGGCUGAUUCGGGCUCACAGAUCAAGCUUGGGACGCGUUCUGACGCCUCUUUGUGUGUGCUGGUGGUCUUUCGGCCGCGUCAAUCCCUGGACAUGGAAACGCCACGCAUUCAAAAAUGAAACAGUUGGUGGAGAUUUGCAGAUAUCCGAAGGGCGAGAUAGUUCAUGGGGAGAUCAUACCGAAAGGUGGGCGUGAUCGGGAGGAAUCAUCUGCGUCUCGGUCAGCCUGUGGCGGGGCGGGCGAUCUUUGGUCUCUUCCAUCCUCUUGACCUUAUCACACGUGCUUUGUCUGAUGGAUACAUCUGCUUGUGUUUUCCGUCCUCCUGGCUCCACUGGCACACUAUUGUGGACCAUGGAUUGUGACGCUCUGCGGCCAUUAUUUGAACUCUGAAGCCGUUCAAACUUGACAGUAAACUGGGGUGGCGUGUGAGGCUUGGCAAUGGCCCUUGGUUCGGAUGCUUGCGCACGACGGUGACGACGCACAUGACGAUGCGGCGACGGCGAGCUUGAGCAGCUGGCGCUGGAGCUAGAGGCAGAGAGGCUGGUGUUGUGCUGGGUGACAUUGCAGGGCGGUCUCUGCCGGGGGCAAGCCGCCGGCGCUACCGCCGGAGGCGAAUAAGCCGCUGCUUGGAUUGUUUUAUUGUGCAGAUACUGGGGUGGACAGGAGCAGGUGAGAAAUAGUCUUUCCACCACGAUGUAGCAUAUCCGACAUUUCUCCCGCGAUUGUUUGUCCGACGCCUUGGCUUGGAGCCACCAUGAGUAGAGCAUUCACCUGCUCAUGCCCCUCGCGGUCUGCGAAUGACAGCAAGAAUGAGUUCGUCCUUGCUAGAUGAAGAAGGCGUCGAAUUCAUGUGCAUAUCUAUAACGAAUUUGCCAUCACC